RNAcentral lists this long non-coding RNA (882 nucleotides) under Brassica rapa (field mustard). RNAcentral describes it as "long non-coding RNA (BRAP_LNC000989)". The record is from RNAcentral. Lineage: Eukaryota; Viridiplantae; Streptophyta; Magnoliopsida; Brassicales; Brassicaceae.
UUAUAUGCGCACGCCAAUUUAUUACAUAAUAUUAACUGAUUCUUAUUUAUUUAAUAUAUAAUUAUUAUUUUAUUAUUUCAUAUAUGCAGAAAGCAUAAAAUAAGUAAUAAAUAUAAAAUAUUUAUUCUACGCAAAACGCGGAUCUUAACCUAAGUAUCUAUCUUUUUAAUCAUUUUAAAUCUUAGACAUUUUCUAUAUUUCAGACCAAAACAAAAGAACAAAAUGAGAAUAAAUUCAAAAAUCAAUAUUUAUAUCAAGCAAUAAUCAAAAUGAAAAAAAAACAAUACAAAAAAAGAGAAACAAUUAAAGAUAGAUAGGAUUGGCACGUGAACGUGAACUCUUCAAACUAUAAUUAACUUUUAAAUUACUAAAUCAUGAUAUAAAAUCGAGCUAACAUAGUUUCAUUGUAACCAAAUAGUAGGUUUGAGAUUCUUUGGCCUAAACGUUAGGUUCUUAUAAGUGAUUUUUUGACCAAAAUAUUUUUAAAAAUGAGAACAGUUAAUCAAUAAACAAAUUAUGUAAUUAACAAAAAAAAUUUUAAAAAAUGUUUAAGAGCCAAAAAUAUGAAUUCGAUCAAGAAUGUAAAUAUUAUUUUUCUAUACGAUAUUUUUAAAUAAUUUUUAUAUAAAUUCACCAUGCCCAAGGCGCAAACACCUAGUUUAGAAAGUAAAAUCAAAUACUUCACCAAAGUUAUAGUUUCUUUUCUUUAACUUCUAUGUUACCGGAUACAGACGUUGAGAGUGACGGAAACAGAAAAACCAACUGAAGUGAACUCCGAAGAGGUCGACGUACGGUGUCAAGACAAAAAGCAAUUAAAGAACUGUCUACAUAUUAUUACCACCACUGUUCACCGUCCAUUAUCAUGGACACAAAACAUCUGUC